GAUGAACGCUGGCGGCGUGCCUAAUACAUGCGAGUCGAGCGAACGGACGAGAAGCUUGCUUCUCUGAUGUUAGCGGCGGACGGGUGAGUAACACGUGGAUAACCUACCUAUAAGACUGGGAUAACUUCGGGAAACCGGAGCUAAUACCGGAUAAUAUUUUGAACCGCAUGGUUCAAAAGUGAAAGACGGUCUUGCUGUCACUUAUAGAUGGAUCCGCGCUGCAUUAGCUAGUUGGUAAGGUAACGGCUUACCAAGGCAACGAUGCAUAGCCGACCUGAGAGGGUGAUCGGCCACACUGGAACUGAGACACGGUCCAGACUCCUACGGGAGGCAGCAGUAGGGAAUCUUCCGCAAUGGGCGAAAGCCUGAUGGAGCAACGCCGCGUGAGUGAUGAAGGUCUUCGGAUCGUAAAACUCUGUUAUUAGGGAAGAACAUAUGUGUAAGUAACUGUGCACAUCUUGACGGUACCUAAUCAGAAAGCCACGGCUAACUACGUG
This 497-nucleotide ribosomal RNA is filed under the name uncultured bacterium. RNAcentral describes it as "partial 16S ribosomal RNA". It matches the Rfam family "Bacterial small subunit ribosomal RNA", at positions 28 to 507 of the family's 1533-position model. The record is from RNAcentral.